RNAcentral lists this ribosomal RNA (430 nucleotides) under Pseudomonadota bacterium. RNAcentral describes it as "Proteobacteria bacterium partial 16S ribosomal RNA". It matches the Rfam family "Bacterial small subunit ribosomal RNA", at positions 355 to 776 of the family's 1533-position model. The record is from RNAcentral. Lineage: Bacteria; Pseudomonadati; Pseudomonadota.
UGGGGAAUAUUGGACAAUGGGGGGAACCCUGAUCCAGCCAUGCCGCGUGUGUGAAGAAGGCCUUAUGGUUGUAAAGCACUUUAAGCGAGGAGGAGGGUACUGGUAUUAAUACUACCAGCUACUGGACGUUACUCGCAGAAUAAGCACCGGCUAACUCUGUGCCAGCAGCCGCGGUAAUACAGAGGGUGCGAGCGUUAAUCGGAUUUACUGGGCGUAAAGCGUGCGUAGGCGGCUAAUUGAGUCGGAUGUGAAAUCCCCGAGCUUAACUUGGGAAUUGCAUUCGAUACUGGUUAGCUAGAGUGUGGGAGAGGAUGGUAGAAUUCCAGGUGUAGCGGAGAAAUGCGUAGAGAUCUGGAGGAAUACCGAUGGCGAAGGCAGCCAUCUGGCCUAACACUGACGCUGAGGUACGAAAGCAUGGGGAGCAAACAGG